UGGUGAUUAUAGAUGAGGGGAAACACACGUUCCCAUCCCGAACACGCCCGUUAAGCCCUCGAUCGCCGAUGGUAGUGCGGCCCAGAUGUCGUGCGAGAGUAGGUUAUUGCCA
RNAcentral lists this ribosomal RNA (112 nucleotides) under Candidatus Moanibacter tarae. The record is from RNAcentral. RNAcentral also lists the same sequence under 1 other name. Lineage: Bacteria; Pseudomonadati; Verrucomicrobiota; Opitutia; Puniceicoccales.